GGCAGCUUGGCCGAGUGGUUAAGGCGUUACGUUUAGGACAUUAGAAACCGUAAUGGGAAACCGCGUGAGUUCGAACCUCACAGCUGUCA
RNAcentral lists this transfer RNA (89 nucleotides) under Rhodotorula toruloides. RNAcentral's name for it is "tRNA-Leu (TAG) cove score=64.85". It matches the Rfam family "tRNA". From Rfam's summary of the family: Transfer RNA (tRNA) molecules are approximately 80 nucleotides in length. Their secondary structure includes four short double-helical elements and three loops (D, anti-codon, and T loops). The record is from RNAcentral. Lineage: Eukaryota; Fungi; Basidiomycota; Microbotryomycetes; Sporidiobolales; Sporidiobolaceae.